GACGAACGCUGGCGGCGUGCUUAACACAUGCAAGUCGAACGGAAAGGCCCUGCUUUUGUGGGGUGCUCGAGUGGCGAACGGGUGAGUAACACGUGAGUAACCUGCCCUUGACUUUGGGAUAACUUCAGGAAACUGGGGCUAAUACCGGAUAGGAGCUCCUGCUGCAUGGUGGGGGUUGGUAAGUUUCGGCGGUUGGGGAUGGACUCGCGGCUUAUCAGCUUGUUGGUGGGGUAGUGGCUUACCAAGGCUUUGACGGGUAGCCGGCCUGUGAGGGUGACCGGGCACAUUGGGACUGAGAUACGGCCCAGACUCCUACGGGAGGCAGCAGUGGGGAAUAUUGCACAAUGGGCGGAAGCCUGAUGCAGCAACGCCGCGUGCGGGAUGACGGCCUUCGGGUUGUAAACCGAUUUCGCCUGUGACGAAGCGUGAGUGACGGUAAUGGGUAAAGAAGCACCGGCUAACUACGUG
RNAcentral lists this ribosomal RNA (468 nucleotides) under uncultured bacterium. RNAcentral describes it as "partial 16S ribosomal RNA". It matches the Rfam family "Bacterial small subunit ribosomal RNA", at positions 28 to 507 of the family's 1533-position model. The record is from RNAcentral.